This 392-nucleotide ribosomal RNA is filed under the name Labyrinthulaceae sp. RNAcentral describes it as "partial small subunit ribosomal RNA". It matches the Rfam family "Eukaryotic small subunit ribosomal RNA", at positions 582 to 975 of the family's 1831-position model. The record is from RNAcentral. Lineage: Eukaryota; Bigyra; Labyrinthulida; Labyrinthulaceae.
AUUCCAGCUCCAAUAGCGUAUAUUAAAGUUGUUGCAGUUAAAAAGCUCGUAGUUGGAUUUUUGACAGGAGCGACCAUACCGGGCUUGAUUGUCCGUGUUUUGUGUUGUCUCCAGUCAUCCUCGUGGAGAGCGUUUCUGGCAUUAGUUUGUUGGAGGCGGGACCCGCGUCAUUUACUGUGAAAAAAUUAGAGUGUUUAAAGCAGGCAAUUGGCUUGAAUACAUUAGCAUGGAAUAGUAAGAUAGGACUUUGGUGCUAUUUUGUUGGUUUGCACAUCAAGGUAAUGAUUAACAGAAUCAGUCGGGGAUAUUCGUAUGCAAAUGUCAGAGGUGAAAUUCUUGGAUUUUUUACAGACGAACUACUGCGAAAGCAUUUAUCAAGGAUGUUUUCAUCA